Long non-coding RNA from Poecilia reticulata (guppy), 4120 nucleotides. RefSeq lists it as uncharacterized. Lineage: Eukaryota; Metazoa; Chordata; Actinopteri; Cyprinodontiformes; Poeciliidae. The record is from RefSeq and is a predicted model, not a curated record.
AUUGCGAAUUUCACUUAGUGAAUUGAGUUGAUGAAAUAACUGAAGUGUUCAACAAUAUUUUAAUUUAAUGAAUAUAACAUGAGAUGGAAUGAGGGCAGUCAAUCUAUGCCAGGAGGACAUAGAAGAGUGGAGAUAAGUCUCUCAGAAAAGGAACAUAUUUGAGCAUAUUUGUUCAUUUGUGUCACAAAUAUUCUACUGCCAAGCCACAUUUUGUUCAUGUGAGUGAACAAAACUCCUAGAAAUGUCCAUGUUUUCUUUUUCUUUCCUUUUCUUGUUUUUUUUUUCUUUUAGAGAAAUGUAUGAAAGGGUUUUUGACAUAGGUAAAGUCUACCAUCACAUUGUUGUAGCUGUAGAUAUUCUAUCAUACAAACACAGGUUUUAGAUCCAAAAUGCAUGCAAAUAACUGCAAUUGCUGCCGACCCCACCCCACCCUUGCUAACACUCUGGAGAUGUAUCUUCUACUCCAAAGUAUCAGAGCUCUCUGAGUGCUGCACAUGGAGACAGAAACUUUCUAAAUCGUUAAGCUGCACAUCAAUGAGAUGUUUUUACCUGCCUGUUUGUCCCCCACUUUGGGAUCCUUUUAUUCAGAAGGCCGCCUGAUAGUCCAUCAUUAUUUAGAUGAAGUCACAUAAACACAUCUCAAAGCUACUUCAGAUCUGGACAGAUCCGAGACCACACCACAUGGGAGCGUUUUAAAUACAUAACUAAAUCAGUCUCUCUCUCUCUUUUUUUUUAAGCUGUAUGAAAAAAUACUAAAUUAGCUUUUCUCUUGUUUUAGAAAAUUAAUUCUGCUUGUUUCAGCUGCUGAACAUGAAAGUCUUCAUCAUAAAAGGAAUUCGGAGAAGUGGCUCCUUUUAUGCAGCAGAAUGUCAGCCUUCCUUGCCCGACCGCUUCCGAGCACGCUUGAUGUCACAUUGUCCACCUGAUCAUUUCGCUACCUGCUCUCCUCCUCGAGGCUGCCCUCUCGCUGCUCCACCACUCGAGAUGCUUGGCUGACUCCUCUGAAACCAUCACGUCGUUGUGUGCUAGAACCCAGCAGGCUGUUCUUCUUCUCUCCUUUCGACUGCGAGCGCAGUCAAGGAUUCCUGUGCUCAUGUGAUGAUUUCAUAUGAGCGUGCCAGCGUUUACUCUUGUUUGUUGUCAGUGCUGCUUGCAUUUUAAAAAGAGCAAUGCGGCUGCAAAUGGGAAUGAGUUUAACAUGUACGGCUUUUUUAAAAAUAGGCUACCGCCUUGAGCAGCUGCAACCAUUACUACUUAUCAUGUUUAUGAGGGCCUCUGUAGAUAGGCGCCUGCCCCCCUUGACCUCUCAAGGAUAAAUGGUUAGACAAUGGAUAGAUGGAUGAAUGUUUGUGAAUAAAUUGAAAAGUUUUUUUUUUUCCAUAGAUUUAAUUCUGUGGUAUUACAAAUAUCAAAUUUAAGUGUUUGGCUUAAUGUUUUUAGAUUGUACAACUUCUGCUGUUAUUUAGUCCAUGCCAUUAUGGAGAUUCUGUCUCAUUUUUUUAGCAUUUAUGUUUCGCCUUCUGGUGGGAAAAUAAUACGUAAUUGGUUGACUGACUUUUUUUCCACAUACAGUGUCUUGAAAAGAAAAUUCUCAUAAUCCUCAAACAUUUAGUCACAUUUAAGUUCCAGAGGAUUUUUUAAAUAUAAUUUUAUGUUCUGCACCACUACAAAGUAGUGCAUAAUUCUGCGCUGGAAUGAAAAUUAUUCAUGGUUUUAAAAGGUUAUUACAAAUUAAAAAAAAAUUUUAAACUGGCUGCAUACACUUGUAUUCAAUCCUUUUGAUUUGAUGAGCCUAAAUAAGAUCCAGUGCAAUCAACUGCCUUCAGAAGUCACAAAAGUAAAUAAAAGGCCUCAGUGAAGGCCUCUUAAGUUAGUGGCACCACACAGGUGAACAAACAGCAUCUAUGUGGUGAACAAGCAAACCCACGGGAUCAGUUAAGAGGAGGAGCUGUGCAGAUAUUUAAAGCAGAGUGAGUUUAUGAAAUAAUAUUUCACAACUUGUCAGCAGCUGUGUUUCUAUGAAUCAUAGAAUUUCGCAAACUAAAAUUGUGAAAAUAAAUUCACUAAAUGGAAACACACCAAUUUUGAAAAAAAAAAACAAACAAAAAAAACAGCAACACAUUUUUCAAUAAAAAGUUGGGAUGAGGUGUUUUUUCAACUGUAUUGAAGUAGAUGUUGCAGAACUGCAAUGGAAACACUAUUUUGCACGACAUGAUUUAGCUGAUCAACAGGUCGGUGCUGGCAAAAACCAUGAAGAAGACAAGAAGAAGUAGUCGUCUUCUUCAUGGUUUGUAGUUUGCUUCUGUGUUUUUUUUUGUUUUUUUGCUUUUCUCUGAGAAUGUGCAACUGGCUUCACCAGAGUUCUCACAGCACUGCACACUUCACAAAAAGUUGUGUUUUGUUUGAACAUGUUGAGUCCAUACAUCUUCUGUAAAAUCGCGCACUACAAUUUCUUAAAAACACUGCACAGACAGCUGCUCCCAGGUAUUACGGGGUUGUCACUCCAACGCCUGAAUAAGUUGCCUCUGAUGGCUGACAGGUUAAGAGCACUAGCAUCAUGGCUCAAUAAUAAAUAUCUCAUGUAACGGUCUACAUCCGUUGCUACCAUGAUUUUUAAUGACUUACUGCGUGAACGAGCUUAUUCACACAUGAUUUGAAUUCCAUUUCUAAUUUAAGGGAAACACAGAAAUUGCAAAAUUGGGAGUUUUCGACAUUAGCAGAAUAUAGACAAAGAUUUGUGCACAUGUGUAAUGGAAACGCAGCUACAGAACACUAUUCAUCCAGCAUCCAAACAUAACAAGAGCCUAGAAAAUCAGAGUAGCUCUAGAGAGGAUGGUUAGCUGGGGGAAUCUGUUGACUGGACAACUACUUGUCUCACACUACACGUUUGGCCUCAAGAAGGUGAUAAGUAGGCGGAAGUCUAUUUGUUGAAGGAAGUCCCAUUAAUUUGCCGUGUAAAAACAUUUCCCUGGAAAAGUCAGUCCUAAAACAUGCAGGACAGCUGCAGUUAAGGACCAACUUAAGACACCCUCCACUAAUGUAAGGGUGAAACCUGGAAGUGGCAGCAUCAUGCUGUGGGGACGCUUUUGCUCAGCAUAAACUCUGACAGGAAUUCCUGUCAUGAGGUAAAUCAUGGUAAAUCAUGGAAGAAAACGUGUUGCAAAGUGCAGUUACUACACUCUACUCCAUUACUACCAACUUUAUUCUUUAGAUCUAGGCCAUGUACUGGGAGACAGACUGCCAGACUGAUCUGGAUGCUUGGACCCACUGGUUGAGCCUUUAAAAGUUAUACAUCAUCUCUGUACACAAGAAAAUGUCCAGAAGUUUUCAUUACUUUUUCAAGGAGUAGUUUUGUGAGGCGCCUGUCUAAAGUACAUUUGUUUUGUUCUUGAACAAAUGAAUGAGAAACAUAUUUCCAAUGAAAUUCAAAUGUCUUGCAUUAGUGUUUGGUAUUUAAUCCAUCAGUGAGUCUGUCUUUAUUUGCACUCUGCAGAAACAAUUAAGAUAGCAGCAAGUGAUUUGCAGCAGGGAAAAAUGUUUGAAGACACAAUAAAUAGAAAAAGAAACAACAGUGACUGGUAAAAAGUGAAGACUUGCUAAACUGAGGAAAUGUGCAUUGUUAAAGACAUUAACAAUAUUGUAAACUUGUUUACAAUAUUGGGUUAACAUUAUAAUGUGGACAUGGUCUGUUAAAAAAACUGCAAAGAAAAAUGUCUUUAAAACUAAUAAGUAUGAUAAAUUAAAAAUCUACUUAGAAGUUAAAGAGCCAAUGAAAUUACAGAAUUUUUUUUUUGCAUAAAAUAAGUUUAAGAUGAAAGUAAACAAUAUCAAUUAAUACAAUUUUACUAAAUGCUUAUCUGACUCGUUGAGUUACGUUUGUACGAUUCUUCAUCAAAUAACUCCUAAAAAAAAAUGAUUGGUGCAUGGUUAAUACCUCCCGGAUGGAAAGUGUGACGCAUUUUUCACGCAAGAAAAGUGUGGCAUUCUCUCUUUGACCAUUUCGUACAAGCAAAGCAGAGAAUGCAAGGGAGGGAGGCAUGAUGUGACGGAGGGGUGUGUCCCAGGUGGACUCUGCUGUUGUAUGAAAGUUGUGAGCGAAUAAAAAUGGUUUGCAAUCAUG